RNAcentral lists this ribosomal RNA (2904 nucleotides) under Escherichia coli. RNAcentral's name for it is "bacterial LSU rRNA". It matches the Rfam family "Bacterial large subunit ribosomal RNA". The record is from RNAcentral. Lineage: Bacteria; Pseudomonadati; Pseudomonadota; Gammaproteobacteria; Enterobacterales; Enterobacteriaceae.
UUAAGCGACUAAGCGUACACGGUGGAUGCCCUGGCAGUCAGAGGCGAUGAAGGACGUGCUAAUCUGCGAUAAGCGUCGGUAAGGUGAUAUGAACCGUUAUAACCGGCGAUUUCCGAAUGGGGAAACCCAGUGUGAUUCGUCACACUAUCAUUAACUGAAUCCAUAGGUUAAUGAGGCGAACCGGGGGAACUGAAACAUCUAAGUACCCCGAGGAAAAGAAAUCAACCGAGAUUCCCCCAGUAGCGGCGAGCGAACGGGGAGCAGCCCAGAGCCUGAAUCAGUGUGUGUGUUAGUGGAAGCGUCUGGAAAGGCGCGCGAUACAGGGUGACAGCCCCGUACACAAAAAUGCACAUACUGUGAGCUCGAUGAGUAGGGCGGGACACGUGGUAUCCUGUCUGAAUAUGGGGGGACCAUCCUCCAAGGCUAAAUACUCCUGACUGACCGAUAGUGAACCAGUACCGUGAGGGAAAGGCGAAAAGAACCCCGGCGAGGGGAGUGAAAAAGAACCUGAAACCGUGUACGUACAAGCAGUGGGAGCACAGAGCAAUCUGUGUGACUGCGUACCUUUUGUAUAAUGGGUCAGCGACUUAUAUUCUGUAGCAAGGUUAACCGAAUAGGGGAGCCGAAGGGAAACCGAGUCUUAACUGGGCGUUAAGUUGCAGGGUAUAGACCCGAAACCCGGUGAUCUAGCCAUGGGCAGGUUGAAGGUUGGGUAACACUAACUGGAGGACCGAACCGACUAAUGUUGAAAAAUUAGCGGAUGACUUGUGGCUGGGGGUGAAAGGCCAAUCAAACCGGGAGAUAGCUGGUUCUCCCCGAAAGCUAUUUAGGUAGCGCCUCGUGAAUUCAUCUCCGGGGGUAGAGCACUGUUUCGGCAAGGGGGUCAUCCCGACUUACCAACCCGAUGCAAACUGCGAAUACCGGAGAAUGUUAUCACGGGAGACACACGGCGGGUGCUAACGUCCGUCGUGAAGAGGGAAACAACCCAGACCGCCAGCUAAGGUCCCAAAGUCAUGGUUAAGUGGGAAACGAUGUGGGAAGGCCCAGACAGCCAGGAUGUUGGCUUAGAAGCAGCCAUCAUUUAAAGAAAGCGUAAUAGCUCACUGGUCGAGUCGGCCUGCGCGGAAGAUGUAACGGGGCUAAACCAUGCACCGAAGCUGCGGCAGCGACGCUUAUGCGUUGUUGGGUAGGGGAGCGUUCUGUAAGCCAGUGAAGGUGUACUGUGAGGUAUGCUGGAGGUAUCAGAAGUGCGAAUGCUGACAUAAGUAACGAUAAAGCGGGUGAAAAGCCCGCUCGCCGGAAGACCAAGGGUUCCUGUCCAACGUUAAUCGGGGCAGGGUGAGUCGACCCCUAAGGCGAGGCCGAAAGGCGUAGUCGAUGGGAAACAGGUUAAUAUUCCUGUACUUGGUGUUACUGCGAAGGGGGGACGGAGAAGGCUAUGUUGGCCGGGCGACGGUUGUCCCGGUUUAAGCGUGUAGGCUGGUUUUCCAGGCAAAUCCGGAAAAUCAAGGCUGAGGCGUGAUGACGAGGCACUACGGUGCUGAAGCAACAAAUGCCCUGCUUCCAGGAAAAGCCUCUAAGCAUCAGGUAACAUCAAAUCGUACCCCAAACCGACACAGGUGGUCAGGUAGAGAAUACCAAGGCGCUUGAGAGAACUCGGGUGAAGGAACUAGGCAAAAUGGUGCCGUAACUUCGGGAGAAGGCACGCUGAUAUGUAGGUGAAGUCCCUCGCGGAUGGAGCUGAAAUCAGUCGAAGAUACCAGCUGGCUGCAACUGUUUAUUAAAAACACAGCACUGUGCAAACACGAAAGUGGACGUAUACGGUGUGACGCCUGCCCGGUGCCGGAAGGUUAAUUGAUGGGGUUAGCGCAAGCGAAGCUCUUGAUCGAAGCCCCGGUAAACGGCGGCCGUAACUAUAACGGUCCUAAGGUAGCGAAAUUCCUUGUCGGGUAAGUUCCGACCUGCACGAAUGGCGUAAUGAUGGCCAGGCUGUCUCCACCCGAGACUCAGUGAAAUUGAACUCGCUGUGAAGAUGCAGUGUACCCGCGGCAAGACGGAAAGACCCCGUGAACCUUUACUAUAGCUUGACACUGAACAUUGAGCCUUGAUGUGUAGGAUAGGUGGGAGGCUUUGAAGUGUGGACGCCAGUCUGCAUGGAGCCGACCUUGAAAUACCACCCUUUAAUGUUUGAUGUUCUAACGUUGACCCGUAAUCCGGGUUGCGGACAGUGUCUGGUGGGUAGUUUGACUGGGGCGGUCUCCUCCUAAAGAGUAACGGAGGAGCACGAAGGUUGGCUAAUCCUGGUCGGACAUCAGGAGGUUAGUGCAAUGGCAUAAGCCAGCUUGACUGCGAGCGUGACGGCGCGAGCAGGUGCGAAAGCAGGUCAUAGUGAUCCGGUGGUUCUGAAUGGAAGGGCCAUCGCUCAACGGAUAAAAGGUACUCCGGGGAUAACAGGCUGAUACCGCCCAAGAGUUCAUAUCGACGGCGGUGUUUGGCACCUCGAUGUCGGCUCAUCACAUCCUGGGGCUGAAGUAGGUCCCAAGGGUAUGGCUGUUCGCCAUUUAAAGUGGUACGCGAGCUGGGUUUAGAACGUCGUGAGACAGUUCGGUCCCUAUCUGCCGUGGGCGCUGGAGAACUGAGGGGGGCUGCUCCUAGUACGAGAGGACCGGAGUGGACGCAUCACUGGUGUUCGGGUUGUCAUGCCAAUGGCACUGCCCGGUAGCUAAAUGCGGAAGAGAUAAGUGCUGAAAGCAUCUAAGCACGAAACUUGCCCCGAGAUGAGUUCUCCCUGACUCCUUGAGAGUCCUGAAGGAACGUUGAAGACGACGACGUUGAUAGGCCGGAUGUGUAAGCGCAGCGAUGCGUUGAGCUAACCGGUACUAAUGAACCGUGAGGCUUAACCUU